UACGGGAGGCAGCAGUGGGGAAUAUUGCACAAUGGGCGAAAGCCUGAUGCAGCUAUGCCGCGUGUAUGAAGAAGGCCUUAGGGUUGUAAAGUACUUUCAUCGGGGAGGAAAAAACAAAACUAAUAAUUUUAUUUCUUGACGUUACCCGAAAAAGAAGCACCGGCUAACUCCGUGCCAGCAGCCGCGGUAAUACGGAGGGUGCUAGCGUUAAUCAGAAUUACUGGGCGUAAAGAGCACGUAGGUGGUUUUUUAAGUCAGAUGUGAAAUCCCUGGGCUUAACCUAGGAACUGCAUUUGAAACUGAAAUACUAGAGUAUCGUAGAGGGAGGUAGAAUUCUAGGUGUAGCGGUGAAAUGCGUAGAUAUCUGGAGGAAUACCUGUGGCGAAAGCGGCCUCCUAAACGAAUACUGACACUGAGGUGCGAAAGCGUGGGGAGCAAACAGGGAUUAGAUACC
RNAcentral lists this ribosomal RNA (454 nucleotides) under uncultured bacterium. Its description in RNAcentral is "bacterial SSU rRNA". It matches the Rfam family "Bacterial small subunit ribosomal RNA", at positions 340 to 786 of the family's 1533-position model. The record is from RNAcentral.